AGCCCCCAAGGCUGUGGGUAUGAGGCCGGGGCCCUGCACCGGAAGGGAGGGCGGAAGCCACGGGACGUGGAGCAGAUGGUGAGGAUAGUGGGGAGGUAGCAGCAGAGGAUGACCCGAGGCAAAAGUGCAAGUGAAGAAAAGUCGCCUUGCCGGGCAGAGGUACGGGACCAAGGCGCCUCCUCUGGGCUGAGGAGUUAGAGGGAAGAAAAUGGCGCCCUGUCAUGAGGGCGCGAGGUCCGAGUUGAGGGGAGAAGACUGAGGGACACAGAAGUGGCCGAAGUGAGGGCGCUGAGGUCAGCCUGAGCUGAGAGGGCCGGCAGAUCACGCCGCAGCCGAAGUGAACGAACUCGAGUGAGGAAAUUACUCCAGGAUUUGAAUCAUCACAAGAGAUUCACCAGAGGAUUUUAUACACUUGGGCUGUGGCAGCAGACUAAUUACAUCACAGCACUAGGACUCUGCAGUGCCGUUACUGUUAUAUAUGAAGUGUCCAUUUAUAUGUGAGUCAUUGCCUAUCUUGGUUAUGCUCCAUUGAUUUAUUUGUCAAUUUCUGUGACAAUAUCAUAUUGUCUUUAUCAUUUUACUUUAUAAUCAUUGUUAAUAUUUAGUACAUCAAGAACUCCCACCUCAUUUUUUAAAAGAAUGUUUUGGAUAGUCUUGGCCUUUAAAUUUUCCAUAAAGUUUAAAAUCAGUCUGUCAAAUUCUGUCAAAAAAAAAAAAACCCUCCUGGGAAUAUUUAUUGGGAUUGAACUGAAUCAUUAAAUCAUUUUAGAGUGAACUGAUAUUUUUAUACUAUUGAGCCUUCCAAUCACGAUUUACUUCAGUUUUCCUUAGUGUCUUUCAAUAGACAUAAAAGUCUUAUAUAUCUUUUGGUACACUUAUUUGUAGAUACUUGAUUUUUUUAGGCUAAAAAGGCAUCUUUAAAAAAUCAUUUGCUAACAAUUAUGGCUGGUGUUUGGAAAUGUAACUACUUUUGUCAUAUUGAUUAUUCAUCUAGGGAUUUUGCUAAAUGCUCUUAUAAUUCAAAUAAAUCUCUUUUUCCUACAUAUACAAUUUAUCAUUUGUAGAUAAUUAUACCAUUAAUUUGUUUUUCUUAUCCUUCAUGUACUAGUUAGAAGCUCUAGUACAACACAGAAUAGAAAUGGUGAUAUUAGGCACCCUUUAAUUGUUCCUGACUUUACAGGAAAAGCUUUUGACAUAAAACAUUACUUUUCUUUGGUUUUCUACAGAUACUUUUUAUUAGAUUAAGAACUUUCAUUCUAUUUCUUUUUUCUUAAGUGUUUAAAAAUCUUGAAUGGAUAUUAAGUUUUAUCAAAUGCUUUAGAAAUUUUGCAUCUAUGUAGAAAUACUGUAACU
This 1353-nucleotide long non-coding RNA is filed under the name Homo sapiens (human). RNAcentral's name for it is "HSALNT0354739". The record is from RNAcentral. Lineage: Eukaryota; Metazoa; Chordata; Mammalia; Primates; Hominidae.